AUACGGAGGACGCGAGCGUUAUCCGGAUUCAUUGGGUUUAAAGGGUGCGCAGGCGGCCGUGCAAGUCAGCGGUGAAAGCCCGGGGCUCAACCCCGGAAGUGCCGUUGAUACUGCAUGGCUGGAAUGCGGUCGAGGCGGGCGGAACGUCGCGUGGAGCGGUGAAAAGCGUAGAGAAGCCACAGAACGCCGAUAAUGGAGGCAGCUCGCCAGGCCUGCAGUGACGCUCGGGCACGAAAGCGUGGGGAUCGAACAGGAUUAGAUACCCUGGUAGUCCACGCCGUAAACGAUGGGAGCUCGUCGUCGGCGGCAGACAGUCGGCGGCCAAGCGAAAGCGAUAAGCGCCCCACCUGGGGAGUACAGUCGCAAGGCUGAAACUCAAAGGAAUUGGCGGG
RNAcentral lists this ribosomal RNA (392 nucleotides) under uncultured bacterium. RNAcentral describes it as "partial 16S ribosomal RNA". It matches the Rfam family "Bacterial small subunit ribosomal RNA", at positions 523 to 917 of the family's 1533-position model. The record is from RNAcentral.